GCAGAAGAAGAAGCAAAUGAAGAUGCAAAUGAAGAAGCAAAUGAAGAGUGUAAAUAUAAUAGAACUAACAGUGAUAACUUAUUAAAUAUAGACAGUUUAAAAAAAAAAGAAAGUGUUAUUGUUAGUGAAAAUGAAGAAAUUAAAUCAAAUGAGAUGUUAAACAAUGAGGAAAGUAAUAAUACGAAAUAUAAGUUGGAGUCUGUUGUUGAAAGUAAUGAAAAGUUAUUAGUUAGUGGAGAGGAACAUAAGAAAAUGGAUAUUCAAGUUAAAGAAGAUUGUAAUGAUAAUAAAAUAGAUUUUGUAAAAGCAGACCAAGUAAUUGAAUCUAAUGGAAUUGAAGAGAAUGAUAACAAAAAAGAAUCAAUAGCAAUGACAACAAUUAAAACUGAAUCUUCGAAUACAAAUAUGAAUGUUAUUACUACUAAAACUGCUACAGCUACAAAUGGUGAUGAUAAUGGUUUAACUAAUGUAUCAAACGAAAACAAAGAAGCGAGCAAAAAAUUAUUGUUAGAAUGGGAUGAUUUAAGUGUAACUACAAAAUUAAGAAUAAUAAGAAUAUUAUUAAAUUUAGUAUUAAUAGAAAGUGCAAAUUUAAAAAAAUCUUUAUUAACAGUUAAUGUAGAUUUUAAUACAGGUUAUAUUGGUAAUCUUGGUCAUAAUAAAUAUUGGAUUAUUGUAAAUGAAAAUGAAUCUGUUAUAGAACAUAAAUUAUAUAUCGAAAAAGAAGAUACUGGUGUUUUUGAAUUAUUGUGUAAUGACGAUGAUGAUAAUUUACACAGUAUUGGUUAUCAUUUAACAUUAAAUUCUGAUAGUAAAUGGUUAGGAAAUAAAAUACUUGAAAGGUAUUAUAAAAUACAUAGAGAAAAAAGAAAUAGAAGUAAAAUAUUGAGACAACAAAAAAAAGUAAGUGGAUUAUUAAAUAUAAAUAAUGAACAGAUCAUAUUAAAUAAAAAAAGACAACAUAAAAAAGUAGAUUAUUUUAAUUUUGAAAAUGAACAACUAAGUAAUAAUAAUAAUAAAAAAAAAAAUGAUACUAUUUAUGGUAGUAAUAAUAAUAAUAAUAUAUAUUCACAAAAAGGAAAUAAUCAAUACAAUCAAAAUAAUUAUCAAAAAAAUGAUAGAUCUCAUAGAUUAGCUGCUAGAAAUGCAUUAAAAGGUCAAACAGAUCAAUUUGGUAGUGGUGAUACUAGUCAAUUUGAAAAAAUUGAAUUUUCUAACUGGAAUAAAACUGAUAAUAUUACAUCAGACAAUUCUGGUUUAAUUAAUAAUAAUAUAAAUAGUAUCGAUUAUAACAAUAUGAAUGGAAUAGAAGAUGUUACUUCUUAUGGGAGUAAGGUUCGUGGUGUUACAAAAGGUGAUAGUAUGUCUAAAGGUAAUGUAGACCAAUUUAAUAAUAUAAAUGUAAGUGGUACUGGUAAUACAAAUUAUAUAAAUAAUAUUAUUCCUGUAAAAAUACCACUAAAACGGGGAAGAAAAAAAAAAUCAGAGAAAAAGAAAAGAGGAAGAAAAAAGAAAAUUCUUAUCGAAAAUGACAAUAAUAAUAACGACAAUAAUAAUGAUAAUGUUGAAAAGAAAGAAGUUAAAGCAAAAAGGAAAACAUAUACUAAAAGAAAUAUAAAACCCGUUGUUAGUAUUAAAUAUGGAACUAGAAGUACUUCAGUAAGUAAACUACAUAAUAAUUAUAUGUCAAAUGAUUAUAUGUCAAAUGAUUAUAUGUCAAAUGAUUAUAUACAAAAUAAUAAUAUGCAAAAUAAUUAUAUGCAUAAUAAUAAUAUGCAUAAUAAUAAUAAUAUGCAAAAUAAUAAUAUG
Piliocolobus tephrosceles (Ugandan red Colobus) is the source of this 1809-nucleotide long non-coding RNA. The record is from Ensembl. NCBI's taxonomy places the organism in Eukaryota, Metazoa, Chordata, Mammalia, Primates, Cercopithecidae.